RNAcentral lists this ribosomal RNA (763 nucleotides) under uncultured archaeon. RNAcentral's name for it is "bacterial SSU rRNA". It matches the Rfam family "Archaeal small subunit ribosomal RNA", at positions 114 to 879 of the family's 1478-position model. The record is from RNAcentral.
CAGGGGUCUGGGGUUACCCCGGGAACUGGGGAUAAUACUGGAUAGGCCAAGAGUAUUGGAAGGUUUUUUGGCUGAAACCUCUGGGGCCUUUGGAUGGGUCUGCGGCUGAUUAGGUUGUUGCCGGUGUAAUGUACCGUCAAGCCUGUAAUCAGUACGGGUUGUGGGAGCAAGAGCCCGGAGAUGGAUUCUGAGACACGAAUCCAGGCCCUACGGGGCGCAGCAGGCGCGAAAACUCUACAAUGCAGGCAACUGCGAUAGGGGAACAUCGAGUGGCGCUCAUAUUGGGCGUCUGUCCACCUGUCUAAAAAACGGGUGUUAGCAAGGGCCGGGCAAGACCGGUGCCAGCCGCCGCGGUAAUACCGGCGGCUCGAGUGGUGGCCGAUAUUAUUGAGUCUAAAGGGUCCGUAGCCGGCUUUGCAAGUCUCUCGGGAAAUCCAGCGGCUUAACCGUUGGGCGUCCGGGGGGUACUACAUUGCUUGGGACUGGGAGAGGUAGGAGGUACUCAGGGGGUAGGAGUGAAAUCCUGUAAUCCUCUGGGGACCACCGGUGGCGAAGGCGUCCUACCAGAACAGGUCCGACGGUGAGGGACGAAAGCUAGGGGCACGAACCGGAUUAGAUACCCGGGUAGUCCUAGCCGUAAACGAUGCUCGCUAGGUGUCACGACAAUCGUGAAUUGUCGUGGUGCCGUACGGAAGCCGUGAAGCGAGCCACUUGGGAAGUACGACCGCAAGGUUGAAACUUAAAGGAAUUGGCGGGGGAGCAC